UCUAUAGUGCACUUCUUUGGGCCCUGGACGAAGUACACCCUUUGGGCCAUGGUCAAAAGUAGUGCACUAAAUAGGGAAUAGGUUGCCAUUUGGGAGCAGUUUGGGCUAGAAUAAAGGGUUGUAGCGAAGUCAUACUGCUGAGAAACAAAGACGACGUUGCCCAAUAGACCGCUUGAGAACCAAGUGGGUGGGUGAAGUCGUCAGGAGACACUGAUCUUGGGUCAGUUUAGUAUUUUCCCCACUAAAGGUAAUGAUCGGGAGAGGGGAAGAUGAUCCUAGAAUGCACCUAGGGGAAACUCUGAUCUUGGGUCAGUUUAGUAUUUUCCCCACGAAAGGUAAUAAUUGGGAGAGGGGAAGAUGAUCCUAGAAUGCACCUAGGGGAAACUCUGAUCUUGGGUCAGUUGAGCAUUUUCCCCACUAAAGGUAGGAAGAUGAUCCUAGAAUGUACCUAGGGGAAACUCUGAUCUUGGAUCAGUGAAACCACCCCAGAGCAAGCAAGUGGAUGGGUCAUUCUCCUCUCAGGGUCUCUAAGGAGCUUUCCACUGGGAAAAAAUACGUCAUUUCCACAUAAUUUCAACAAAAACAUUAAAUGUGAUGAUGUUGAAUCAAUGUGGAAAACAUAAUCCAAUGACAUGGUGACAUUUUUUGUUGAUUUCACGUUGAAUUCACGUUAGUUGACAAACUCAACCAAAGGUAAAUCCAAACUAGUUGUUGAACUGACGUCUGUGCCCAGCGGGUUAGUUCUGUUUUGUUUGUGACGGUCAUGCCAGGGCUCCCUCCCUUGGCAUCCCAGAGAGCCAGAUGAAUGUAGUUCUGUUCACCGUGCAGUCAGACAACAUCACAGCACCGUCUGCAGUGGACCAUUUGUUAGGAGAGGAAGCUGUUGGCAGACACCUACAGUACCACACCACAUCAGAAGCAGGAGCAGCACAGUCCUAUCUAGCGGCACGUAGAGCUGGGCCAUUAUGGACCAAAAUCCAUAUCACGAUCAAUUUACUGAAAUAUCACGCUUAUGAUAAAUUCACCUAUACGUUUAUAACAUUAAUGUGCACUACAGUUAUUUUUUAUAUUACACUUAAAAAUACUAUUUUGAAUUUUCUAGGUCAUAUCCUGAGUGGGGCAGCGGUCUAAGGCACUGCAUCUCAGUGCAAGAAGUGAUACUACAGCCCCUGGUUCGAAUCUAGGCUGCAUCACAUCUGGCCGUGAUUGGGAGUCUCAUAGGGUGGCGCAGGUUUGGCCGGGGUAUUGUAAAUAAGAAUUUGUUCUUAACUGACUUGCCUAGUUAAAUAAAGCUUACAUUUCAAAUAAAUAUAAAAAAUCCCAUGUAAAAGGACAUGAGCAAUAACAUGUGAAGAUCAUAGGAGCAUGUCAAAUUAAAGCUAAGACUAAGUUUCUUUGGAAAUUAAGGCACACUCUAAUUAAAGAUAUUGACAUUCAGUCAAAAUUACUAAUUUUAUCAAGCCAAGUCUGGGAGAUCAAUCAAUAGGUACAUAACAGGAAAUCCAGCUAAAGUACAGGCAGGGAAUAGGCAAAAAGGCAUCCUUAGUGAGGCAGGCAAAAACUAUCAUCCACGGGAUGAGUAAAUCACAGGAACCACAGCGCUCUGAAAGACGUGUGUCACAAAACAAACAAUACCUCACAGAGAUGGGGUGCAAAGAACUGAACUAAAUAGUGUGUGAUAAUGACAUACAGGUGUGUGAACAGGUGAUUAGAACUCAGGUGAUUGGGAUCUGGAGAGUGAGCUGCGUUCAGGGGAUCUAGGUGUUUUAGACUGUGAGUUGGAAAGUGGUUAGGAAAGUGAGCUGCGUUCAGGGGAUCUAGGUGUUUGAGAGUGUGAACUGGAAAGUGGGUAGGAAAGUGAGCUGCGUUCAGGGGAUCUAGGUGUUUGAGAGUGUGAACUGGAAAGUGGGUAGGAAAGUGAGCUGCGUUCAGGGGAUCUAGGUGUUUGAGAGUGUGAACUGGAAAGUGGGUAGGAAAGUGAGCUGCGUUCAGGGGAUCUAGGUGUUUGAGAGUGUGAACUGGAAAGUGGGUAGGAAAGUGAGCUGCGUUCAGGGGAUCUAGGUGUUUGAGGGUGUGAGUUGGAAGCAGACGUUACAGCUUGACUUGGGCAGGAGCUCACCGGAGCUGAAUAGCUGUACAUCAAAUGUUCUACUGCUUGAGCUCCUGUUCCUCUUAUAGAAUAUAAAAAGUAUUGUGGAGCUCCUGCACCUAAAUAUAAACAGUUCCAGCACCCAAAAUGAAUACUGGAACCUAAGCAUUGACUAAAAGGUACAUUUAUUCAACUAUAAAUAGUAGGUUAUACUGAAAAAUGUUGAAGUUGACUUAGUCAAAGUCAAUUCAGUGCUAGUUAGAAUAACUCUACAUUUAAAGCAUUGGUGAAGUUAACUUAACUAUCUUUAAUUAAUAAAAGUACAUUUGGAGUAAGUUAGUAUUACUUUAUAUAGUCCAUGCAACUUCAUGACUGGAAAUAAUAAGUUGAAACAACAAAUAAUUUUUUUAAUGCAAAUAUAAAUGUUUCAACCAUUUUCCAUUUUAACAAUAAGCAACGGCUUUGAUUUCUUGUCAAACAGAUGGAAAAUAAAGGUUAAAUGAAAAGAAAAGGGGUCUUAAAAGGUCUUAGAAAUACAUCAAAACAUAACAAUGUUGAAGUAAAGACUCCUGCCAGCUAAUAUCAACACAUAUUUAGUUUAGGAGAAAUGUGUCUGUCUUCUUUAAGAAACAUUACCUUGUGCAUUGAAAUCCCAUGACCAAAACCUCCAGAUAUCUUUCAGAUAUUUUCUAUUUUCUCUCACUCAUGAGGAGAGAGGACAAUGAAAGUUCACAGAAGUAACAAGUAAAGGUAGACCUACCAGUUAGUUAUAGUUUUUACUGAUAUAAAUGUUGUUUCUGCAAUUGGGAAAUCCUAGUAGCCACAAACCACAGAUGAGUCUCCUGUUACUGUCCUCCCCUCCACUGACAUACUGUUAUGUUCAGCUGAUAGAGUCUCCUGUUACUGUCCUCCCCUCCACUGACAUACUGUUAUGUUCAGCUGAUAGAGUCUCCUGUUACUGUCCUCCCCUCCACUGACAUACUGUUAUGUUCAGCUGAUAGAGUCUCCUGUUACUGUCCUCCCCUACACUGACAUACUGUUAUGUUCAGCUGAUAGAGUCUCCUGCUACUGUCCUCCCCUCCACUGACAUACUGUUAUGUUCAGCUGAUAGUCUCCUGUUACUGUCCUCCCCUCCACUGACAUACUGUUAUGUUCAGCUGAUAGAGUCUCCUGUUACUGUCCUCCCCUAC
RNAcentral lists this long non-coding RNA (3279 nucleotides) under Salmo salar (Atlantic salmon). RNAcentral's name for it is "lncRNA (ENSSSAG00000100775.1)". The record is from RNAcentral. Lineage: Eukaryota; Metazoa; Chordata; Actinopteri; Salmoniformes; Salmonidae.